UUUCCUACGGGGGGCAGCAGUCGGGAAUAUUGCGCAAUGGAGGAAACUCUGACGCAGUGACGCCGCGUGCAGGAAGAAGGUUUUCGGAUUGUAAACUGCUUUAGACAGGGAAGAAAAAAGACAGUACCUGUAGAAUAAGCUCCGGCUAACUACGUGCCAGCAGCCGCGGUAAUACGUAGGGAGCAAGCGUUAUCCGGAUUUACUGGGUGUAAAGGGGGCGCAGACGGCGAUGCAAGCCAGGAGUGAAAGCCCGGGGCCCAACCCCGGGACUGCUCUUGGAACUGCGUGGCUAGAGUGCAGGAGGG
This 305-nucleotide ribosomal RNA is filed under the name uncultured bacterium. RNAcentral's name for it is "bacterial SSU rRNA". It matches the Rfam family "Bacterial small subunit ribosomal RNA", at positions 335 to 656 of the family's 1533-position model. The record is from RNAcentral.